CUACUGCCCUCUCCGCUGACCGCGACCCACAACCAGGCUGUGCAGUGAAGUGCCACCUUGCCAACCCGACUCCCCUCCCCUUCGGCUGCAGGCUCCCGGCGGCGACUCCCCUCCCCUUCGGCUGCACCGCUGCAGGCGCCCGGCGCGCGGAGCUGUGCCGGCCGGCCGGCGGCGUGUGCUUAUCUCCUUCCCCGCGGCUGCAGUCGUGCGGAGCUCGGCUCCAUCAACGACCGAGGCCAGCGGCGCACGCGGCUGCCCAGCGAAAGGGCGCAGCAUCGCCAGCGCUACGCCAGGAGCAGGACAACCAGCGGCUCGCACCACAUCUGUCUCCACCGCGCUCCCUGCCACCACGCUAUGGUGCUCGCGCCGCUUGCCCAGCCCUCAGUAGUAGCCAUGGACGUACUGCGUCCCCUCUUACCCACCUUUGUCUAUUAAGAGCACAUAUGCACAGCAAGUGUUCGAUAUUUUGCCUCUAUAAGAUGAUUGCUCAGUUUGAACCUGAAACAUAUGUGCGGAUGAAUGAUAUUAUGUUCGUCACCAACUAAUGGAUAUGGACCAUUGCCACCAUGGCACUUGAUUGCCAUCUUCGACCAUGACCUAGGAAUAAUUGCAUUCCUAGAUGAAUCUUGGGAAUCAUGUAGGAUAUAAUUAUCAUUAUCUUAAAUGAUAGAUACAGUGUGUAUACUAUUUUGUCAACUCAUAAAUACUUCUAACCUCCAACUCUGGUAUCCAAAACUUUGGAUUGUUUAUUAUCUGGGUUAACCAUUUUACUAUUAGAAGUAUUGAGGGUAUGACACCUGAAAAUUAAUUGAACAAUGAUUAGUUUGAUAUUUUCAUCUCAACUGAACAAAGACUAAUUUGAUGUCCAGAUCGCUUGCAUCAGACAAUGCCGGCGAGCAUCGUCGUCAACUCCACCAAGGCAAGCUACAUCAGUCUCUUCUCUGCAGGCGCUGAUGGCCUGCUGCUUGCAUUUGAGGUCUCUAGGAGACCUACCACCCUUUUACAGAGCUUCAUGCAAUCGUGCUGGACUAUGCUUACAACAACAAAGGAUGGGCAAUUCCAAAGGACGGAGUUUCUUAGUACCUUCAGAGAAGCAAGAUCUUUGGAUGAAGUUCCUCAACAAGAAGAAGGAUGUACCUGAUUACCUUUGUAUAUGCAGUUUAUCAGACAAGAAUAAUGUUGUUACAUUUCAUGCCAUGCAACUUUUAUUCAAUUCUUCGUUUCAUGCCAUGCAACUUUUAUUCAAUUCUUCGAGAUAGAUUUAUGCAUAUCAUUUUUUGUUUGUAUGGCAUAUGAUAGAGAAAUAUAGAAAAGAAGCCAACUAAGAAAA
This is a long non-coding RNA of Panicum virgatum (switchgrass), 1330 nucleotides long. RefSeq lists it as uncharacterized. The transcript is spliced from 2 exons. The record is from RefSeq and is a predicted model, not a curated record. NCBI's taxonomy places the organism in Eukaryota, Viridiplantae, Streptophyta, Magnoliopsida, Poales, Poaceae.